This 74-nucleotide transfer RNA is filed under the name Alosa alosa (allis shad). RNAcentral describes it as "tRNA-OTHER". The record is from RNAcentral. Lineage: Eukaryota; Metazoa; Chordata; Actinopteri; Clupeiformes; Clupeidae.
GCAGUCGUGGCCUACUGGUUAGGGCUUCAGGCUUGUAACCGGUGGGUUGCCGGUUAGAUCCCUGACCAGUAGGA